UGGGUGCUGGGCUGCCGCUGGAACGGGCCUGGGCUGGCCUGCUGCAGAUUUUUUCUUCUCUUUUUUGAUAAACUUGUUGGGUUUGGGCUACUAAAAUUAUUGGGCUGCUACUUUUGUUCUUUUUUAUUGUUUUUUUUCCUUUUUCUUUCUCCUUUCUUCUUCUUCUUACCUUUACUUUUUCUUUCCGUUGAGCCCAGCUGCCGCUUCUCCUCUGUUGUCCACUGCCACCGUCGACUCCUCCGUUCGGUGGUGCUAGUCUCGGCGUUCUCUCCUCUUCUUUUCUCCUCCCUUUUUCUCUUCUUUCUCUUAUCUUCUCCCUUUGGCUUUCUCUCUUUUCUUCUCUUCUCCCCUUUCUUUUUCUUUCUCUUUCAAAAGCCCAGAAAUUAGAAGCGACGCCGCCCCUUUAAUCCGCCGUUCGUUACUCGAUCCUCCUCAGCCUUAAGUGGCCGUGGUAAAGGGUCGGGAUCUCUUGCUAUAUUUGUUUUUUUUUUGCCCUUUUUUACUCUUUUCUUUGCUUUUGGUUGCUUGUGGAUUGUUGAGUUUGGUUUGUUUCUUUGUGAUGAUGAAUGAGGAAUGUGGAUGGGGACAUGGGGAGAAUCGGCUAAAUCUUAGAAAUUUCAAAGCUUUUUUCUCUGUUUUUUUUCAUUUUUUCUUUUUAAAAGCUCCAAAUUUUGUCCUCUUUCUCAUUGUUUGCAGGUGGCAGAGGAGCCAUGAUGGCCUAGGGGGGCUGCUGGAGUAGCUCGGUUGGGAGGGGUACGCUCGGCUGCUGCUGCGGCGAUUAGACAAGUCCAGAAGGACUAAAU
Molecule: long non-coding RNA, 803 nt
Filed under: Gossypium raimondii (Peruvian cotton)
Lineage: Eukaryota; Viridiplantae; Streptophyta; Magnoliopsida; Malvales; Malvaceae
Description: long non-coding RNA (GRAI_LNC007463)
Source: RNAcentral